Catharus ustulatus (Swainson's thrush) is the source of this 2402-nucleotide RNA transcript. It is a transcript of the gene named gamma-aminobutyric acid type A receptor subunit beta1, with no coding region annotated. Lineage: Eukaryota; Metazoa; Chordata; Aves; Passeriformes; Turdidae. The record is from RefSeq and is a predicted model, not a curated record. The transcript is spliced from 11 exons.
CUUCUCGCCAAGUUCCAGUCCGCGGCUCGUCCCCCGUGAGGCGGCGGCCGGGAUGGGGGCGGCUGCGAGGCGGACCGGCCCGCGGGCGCUGCUGCUGCCGCUGGCGCUGGCCGUGGCAUGUGCGGCGCGCAGCGCCGACGGGCCCAGCAACAUGUCCUACGUGAAGGAGACUGUGGACAGGCUGCUCCAAGGCUACGACAUCCGCCUCCGCCCCGACUUCGGAGGUCCGCCCGUGGAUGUAGGCAUGCGGAUAGAGAUCGCCAGCAUCGACGUGGUCUCGGAGGUCAACAUGGACUACACCCUGACCAUGUACUUUCAGCAGUCCUGGAGGGAUAAAAGGCUCUCUUAUUCUGGAAUACCUUUGAACUUAACUCUGGACAACAGAGUGGCUGACCAGCUCUGGGUGCCGGACACGUAUUUCCAAAAUGACAAGAAAUCAUUUGUCCAUGGGGUGACAGUGAAAAACCGAAUGAUUCGACUCCAUCCAGAUGGGACAGUCCUUUAUGGCCUACGGAUCACAACAACAGCUGCUUGCAUGAUGGAUCUACGCAGAUAUCCUCUGGAUGAACAAAACUGCACACUAGAAAUUGAAAGUUAUGGAUACACUACUGAUGAUAUUGAAUUUUACUGGAACGGAGGAGAGUCAGCAGUAACAGGAGUUAAUAACAUCGAGCUCCCGCAGUUUUCUAUUGUGGAUUACAAGAUGGUAUCUAAGAGAGUGGAAUUUACAACAGGAGCAUAUCCUCGACUAUCACUUAGCUUCCGGCUUAAAAGAAAUAUUGGAUACUUCAUUUUGCAAACCUAUAUGCCUUCCACCCUGAUCACAAUUCUGUCGUGGGUGUCUUUUUGGAUCAAUUAUGAUGCCUCUGCAGCCAGAGUUGCUCUAGGAAUCACGACUGUGCUGACCAUGACCACCAUCAGCACCCACCUCAGGGAGACCUUGCCAAAGAUUCCCUAUGUCAAGGCAAUAGAUAUUUACCUGAUGGGAUGUUUUGUGUUUGUGUUCCUGGCCUUGCUGGAAUAUGCCUUUGUAAACUACAUAUUCUUUGGGAAGGGACCUCAACGUCAAAAAAAGACAGCAGGCAGGGCAGGACAUGCCACAGGAGAGAAGAGCAGACUGGAAACAAAUAGAGUCCAGGAGACAGUGAGGGCACAAAUUCAGUUCAGGCAAUCAGCAGUCUCCAAGACCCCACAAAGUGCUGUCUUCCACUGAGCAGAGGAGAUAAGUCAGCCCAGCUUGUUGUGCACAGACACUGCCUAUCCAUUUCUAUGGAAAAUAAGGAAGGGAAAAAAACAACGCAACACACAAACUCUGACCAGCUACCUCAACAGCUCCUGAGAUGAUCCAGUCUAGGUGAGAAGCAGCACAGCAAGGAUUCAUGACAAAGAAGAAGUUAAGACUUCUUCAGAGGCCAGCCUUGGCUACAUGUGCCCCAGUGCACUGAACUGAGUAAAGGAUAAGAGUGCAGGUAAGUUCUUCUCCUACAUAUUUGGAGAGUUUGUUUAACUAACAAAAUGCCAUAAGUCAUAACUAAAAGCUUUUGUCUAAAUGUUGCGCAGAAAAGAUUACGCUGAGAUUGGUACGCAGAAUGGGAUGGAAAGAUUUUAAAGCACCACAUCAUUUUUCUGAUAGAAAAAGGAGGUCAUACAUGCUUGGUACCAGGAUUUCUAGGUGUUCACACUUCAGAGGAGCAAUCCCAUUCUGAGAUUGAGAGUGCUUUAAAUGAACAGACUGCUUUCUGCCUGUAGAGUGCAGGUUUGUGAUCUUAAAUACAAAUUUAUGCACACAUAUCCAUAAACACACACAUGUGAAUGGAUAUCGGUGAAUUUUCUGUUCCACACACUGAUGUGAGACAUUGUGAACAUUAAUUUUAUUCAGCAUAAAAAUGCUGAUUUCCAAUAGUUGUAUUUCUGUCUUUGGCAGGAAGAAUGCACAUGACCAGAGCAGUGGGACGCAACAAGGUUAUGUGACCUCCAGUGAAAGAGCUUCCUGCCCCUCUCCAUGAUUUUUUGAGAUUUUUCACUGAUAUUAUGAUGCCUCCACCAGAGCAAGGGAAAGGUUUUUUUGAGCAUAAAAGAAGUGCAGUUGUAAGUGAAGAUAUUGAUCAUUCCCAUCUGACAUACAACUCUAAAGACUAAAAGAGUUCAAAUUUCUUCACCUGAUAACACAAGCUCUAGCUGCAUGAGCAACACUCAGCAAACAGACCACGAUAUUAACAGUAUAGAGAAGACCAGAUGAAAAAUGAAAUGGAACUUCUGUUUCAUGGGUUCCAUGCUCUACAGAGUGAAGAUGGAAAUAAAGUCUCUCCAGCUUCACAAUGUUGAUGAUGACUAUGGGAACAUGAUUCUCAGAGCACUUGAAAGACGAAGUGACGUGUGCAGCUCAGAUGUGUUCACGAGCC